Molecule: ribosomal RNA, 429 nt
Filed under: uncultured bacterium
Lineage: Bacteria
Description: partial 16S ribosomal RNA
Rfam family: Bacterial small subunit ribosomal RNA
Source: RNAcentral
UCGAGGAUCUUCGGCAAUGGGCGCAAGCCUGACCGAGCGACGCCGCGUGGGCGACGAAGGCCUUCGGGUUGUAAAGCCCUGUCGGGGGGGGGAAAGGGCAACUUGAUCCCCCCCAGGAGGAAGCACGGGCUAAGUUCGUGCCAGCAGCCGCGGUAAGACGAACCGUGCGAACGUUGUUCGGAAUCACUGGGCUUAAAGGGCGCGUAGGCGGGCGUCACAGUCCGCGGUGAAAUCCCCCGGCUCAACCGGGGGACGGCCGCGGAUACCAGGCGUCUCGAGGCGGGUAGGGGCGUGCGGAACACUAGGUGGAGCGGUGAAAUGCGUUGAUAUCUAGUGGAACUCCGGUGGCGAAAGCGGCGCGCUGGACCCGAUCUGACGCUGAGGCGCGAAAGCCAGGGGAGCGAACGGGAUUAGAUACCCCCGUAGUCC